Molecule: non-coding RNA, 742 nt
Organism: Tupaia belangeri chinensis (Chinese tree shrew)
Lineage: Eukaryota; Metazoa; Chordata; Mammalia; Scandentia; Tupaiidae
Source: the annotation of a RefSeq genome assembly
UACCAGAGCAAUCAUUGCCAAGGCAGUAUCUCUUGCUAAAAGUCUCUGGUCUUUUUCUACACAAGGAACUACGGAGUCCUAGAUCUCCUGCAUCUCAAAGACUCAGCAUAUGCUGAUAUUCUUUGCUGCUCAGGGAGAAUAUAUCUGCAGUUUUCUCACUGUCCUUGUCAUGCCCUGGCUGACCAUUCUACUACUUGGAAUGCUCCUCACACUGAGAGGAACUGGAGCCCAGUCAGUGACCCAGCCUGAUAGCCAUGUCUCUGUCUCUGAAGAAUCUCGAUUGGAGCUCAAGUGCACUUAUUCCUACAGUGGAGCUCCUUUUCUCUUCUGGUAUGUCCAAUACCCUGGCCAAAGCCUCCAGUUUCUCCUCAAGGACACAACAGAGGCCCACCUGGUUAAAGGCAUCAAAGGUUUUGAGGCUGAAUUGAGGAAGAAUGAAACCUCCUUCUACCUGAGGAAACCAUCAGCCCACUGGAGUGACUCAGCUCAGUAUUUCUGUGCUCUGAGUGACACAGUGCCUAGAACUACAGAGGGAACUGAACACAAACCUCCUGAGACACUGGAGUUUUCAGAGACUCAAAGACAAAAUCGGGCCUCUGCUGCAAGGCUGGGGCUCUGCUCCACGUUCCGCAGCCCGGGCCGCCCGGCCCCUGCUGCCUCUCCGGCGCUGGGUGUGUCCCACGCUCGGCGCCGACGCAGGCCGGCACCUCUGAAGGAGGACAAGAAUAUCCAAGUCAUGUAA